UUUUAUUUGAGAGUUUGAUCCUGGCUCAGGAUGAACGCUGGCGGCGUGCCUAACACAUGCAAGUUGAGCGAUUUACUUCGGUAAAGAGCGGCGGACGGGUGAGUAACGCGUGGGUAACCUACCCUGUACACACGGAUAACAUACCGAAAGGUAUGCUAAUACGGGAUAAUAUAUUUGAGAGGCAUCUCUUAAAUAUCAAAGGUGAGCCAGUACAGGAUGGACCCGCGUCUGAUUAGCUAGUUGGUAAGGUAACGGCUUACCAAGGCGACGAUCAGUAGCCGACCUGAGAGGGUGAUCGGCCACAUUGGAACUGAGACACGGUCCAAACUCCUACGGGAGGCAGCAGUGGGGAAUAUUGCACAAUGGGCGAAAGCCUGAUGCAGCAACGCCGCGUGAGUGAUGAAGGCCUUCGGGUCGUAAAACUCUGUCCUCAAGGAAGAUAAUGACGGUACUUGAGGAGGAAGCCCCGGCUAACUACGUGCCAGCAGCCGCGGUAAUACGUAGGGGGCUAGCGUUAUCCG
RNAcentral lists this ribosomal RNA (521 nucleotides) under Clostridioides difficile. RNAcentral's name for it is "bacterial SSU rRNA". It matches the Rfam family "Bacterial small subunit ribosomal RNA", at positions 1 to 547 of the family's 1533-position model. Lineage: Bacteria; Bacillati; Bacillota; Clostridia; Peptostreptococcales; Peptostreptococcaceae. The record is from RNAcentral.